GAUGAACGCUGGCGGCGUGCCUAAUACAUGCAAGUCGAGCGAACAGACGAGGAGCUUGCUCCUCUGACGUUAGCGGCGGACGGGUGAGUAACACGUGGAUAACCUACCUAUAAGACUGGGAUAACUUCGGGAAACCGGAGCUAAUACCGGAUAAUAUAUUGAACCGCAUGGUUCAAUAGUGAAUGACGGUUUUGCUGUCACUUAUAGAUGGAUCCGCGCCGCAUUAGCUAGUUGGUAAGGUAACGGCUUACCAAGGCAACGAUGCGUAGCCGACCUGAGAGGGUGAUCGGCCACACUGGAACUGAGACACGGUCCAGACUCCUACGGGAGGCAGCAGUAGGGAUUCUUCCGCAAUGGGCGAAAGCCUGACGGAGCAACGCCGCGUGAGUGAUGAAGGUCUUCGGAUCGUAAAACUCUGUUAUUAGGGAAGAACAAAUGUGUAAGUAACUAUGCACGUCUUGACGGUACCUAAUCAGAAAGCCACGGCUAACUACGUG
This 497-nucleotide ribosomal RNA is filed under the name uncultured bacterium. RNAcentral describes it as "partial 16S ribosomal RNA". It matches the Rfam family "Bacterial small subunit ribosomal RNA", at positions 28 to 507 of the family's 1533-position model. The record is from RNAcentral.